UUUUGGGUGAGUUUUGAAAUGGACGAAUGGAAACCACAUUCACUUUAGUCAAUAUUUAGGUCAUAUUAGUUAAAUGUAAUUGGGAUAAAUAUGUUAUACAUCAUCUUUGGAUAUUUAGCAUUUUUAAAUACUGCUGUACUUUUCAUUUCAUAAUGUAGGUCACAACUUAGAACUGACUCGAGGCUAAAUUUUAGAGGUUGCGCGACUGAAUAAUUACGUCAAUACUAGUUUUGUCCAGUUCUAAACAAGACAUUUUGUGCUCCCUUUUCUUCUGGUCUUAAAUGCAUCAAUUAUUUUUCUUGUUAUCUAUUUUUUAUAAUAACUAUUUUCUUCUAUCUCUUUCAGUUUGAGGCAUGAACAAAGAGAAGAGCAGGACAUAUAAUUAAACCCACAUACACACAAUUCUGUGCAUCAUCGCGGGCCUAAAAAUGCGAUACAGUUCCCAUAAGACUUAGGGGUUUUGGAAAAAGUGCCUAAAUUAAAAAUUAAAUAAAAAUAGGACUUAUUAAAUAGGUAUAUAUGUACAAAAAAGAUUUUUUUUAAACGUUGGUUAGUACCUAAAUAAAAAUGCCAAAUUGAAGUACAGUUAUGAACAUUAUGGACGUUGGAGAAUACAUAGCAACAAUGGCAAAUAUACAGUAGACUUUUUCAUAUUCCAAAUGAUUGCUUGAAAAGUUGAGUUCACCUACAAUGGUAUUAAUCGGUUUAAGAUUGAAUGUGAGAUUAAAUGUCUAAACAAAUAUCCUUCCAGAUUUGUGCACGUUCAUAAAAGCUAUAUGAACCACACGUGCAAAAAUCAAACAAAGGACUUUGUUUUAAAGGAAGAAGAAUUUUGCAACAAUGCCAUGUGGAACUGUUGUCAGAAAAUGGAUUGUACUGUAAACUAGUUUCCAGUCGUUUGUCGUCUUAAAAAAACAGUCCUUGUGUAAAAAGUUUGUCAACGCCUCCUUAAUAAAACCCAACACAGUGGGAAAAAAGAUGCCCAAAAUAGCACUGUUCCCUGGUCAGAUGGCAUUAUUUAACAAAUGUUCAAUCCAUAGCUUGCUUUCUCUACUGUCUCAAAGCUUGACAUGACAAACCGGGUGGAAUAUUUUAAAGGAUAACAAAACAAAAAAAAUGUUAAACUUACUGAGUGUCGUGAUUGUGGAAACAUCAUGUCAGGUCCUGGUUUGUUGCUCUUACUCCAGACUCCCAGCUGUGUGCUCCGUGUUUGUAUAUGUUUUCCUUCUGGCGUUGCUCCUUUGUCCACAGCUCUCAGCCUUCACGGGGACUGUCCACUGUUAGCAGCAGGGCUGUAGCUAAACACUGUGAAUAACCACCGCCCCAGGGAAAACAAACAAACAAACAAACAAACAAACAAAAUUCCGGCAAUACUUGCGAGAGACGGGCCACGCAAUCGCAGUAAAAUAGUGGCUGUAAUAAUGUGAGAGCCUUCAGCUGGACCUGUCCUGUCCUCCUGUUCACAGCGUGCGUGGACAGGAAACGAGCAUCAGUACUGCCCACCGCGGCUGCUGCUGCAUCUGUGAGCUAAUUCUUUUCCAGCUGUCCGUCAACGUGAUUCAUGGCUGUCGCGAUCUUUCCGCAUCAACGCUCCAGCUGCAGCGACGUGAACUAAACGCGUGUAAAUUAAUAACGUCCCUCAGAGACACGGAGGAAGAGAGCGGCGUCUGGGACGAAGCUCGCGGGUGAGAGGGAUCGAUACACUUUCCGUUCGAAGCUUCUAGUUUUUCCGCUGUCUUCAAACAGCUACGACAGCACCGAGGAGAAAAAAAAUGUAAUUUUCAGAUUAACAAAAUGUCUGCUGAAGUUGAAGCACGUCUCCUUCAGCAGCAAUAAAAUAUUCAGUGUCGCCGCUCAGGCGGAAAAAAAUAAAGAAUGUGUUUACAAUUUAAAUUGCUCCAGACUGUUGAAGGUGUGUAUCUUUCUAUUUCUCUGACCAGAGAAGUCCCGAAGAAACAGACUGAUGUUGGUGAAGCCACAAAGUCAGUCGAUUCCUGGAGCGAAGACGCGUCUCUGCUGCUGCUGCUGCUGCUGCUGAACGCCCCACACAGAAAUUCAGCGGCUAGAAAGAAGCGGUGAGCUGCUGAUCUACACACCGCAGAUCUAGCGCAUUGACCGACUAAUGUAUUAACUCAAGAGUGAACAGAACGGCCAAACUUAAACCAUGUGGAAAAUAAAGAAGACACUUGAAGAAGAGAAACCCCAAGAAUCUUAGUGUACUGCAGCCCAGAGCUCACAGGGGAAUGAAAAUGUUCAGGAGUGCUGCUGUGAUCUGAUGUCUGCAUUUUCUUUCCUCCAGAGGCCAUGAAUAGCAUUAGAAAGUAGACCUUUGUUUCUAUGCUGUGUUUGUAAGUUGUGUCAAACCAUUUGAAUUGUUCUUGAUUUGAUUAUUUAUUUAAAAGAGUAAAA
Cynoglossus semilaevis (tongue sole) is the source of this 2409-nucleotide long non-coding RNA. RefSeq lists it as uncharacterized. The transcript is spliced from 2 exons. The record is from RefSeq and is a predicted model, not a curated record. NCBI's taxonomy places the organism in Eukaryota, Metazoa, Chordata, Actinopteri, Pleuronectiformes, Cynoglossidae.